RNAcentral lists this ribosomal RNA (659 nucleotides) under uncultured bacterium. RNAcentral describes it as "bacterial SSU rRNA". It matches the Rfam family "Bacterial small subunit ribosomal RNA", at positions 94 to 788 of the family's 1533-position model. The record is from RNAcentral.
AGUGGCGGACGGGUGAGUAACGCGUGAGAAUCUGCCUUGGGGUCGGGGACAACCACUGGAAACGGUGGCUAAUACCGGAUAAGCCGAUUGGUGAAAGAUUCAUUGCCCGAAGAGGAGCUCGCGUCUGAUUAGCUAGUUGGUGAGGUAAGAGCUCACCAAGGCAGCGAUCAGUAGCUGGUCUGAGAGGACGAUCAGCCACACUGGGACUGAGACACGGCCCAGACUCCUACGGGAGGCAGCAGUGGGGAAUUUUCCGCAAUGGGCGAAAGCCUGACGGAGCAAGACCGCGUGAGGGAGGAAGGCUCUUGGGUUGUAAACCUCUUUUCUCAGGGAUAAGCUCUGACGGUACCUGAGGAAUCAGCCUCGGCUAACUCCGUGCCAGCAGCCGCGGUAAUACGGAGGAGGCAAGCGUUAUCCGGAAUUAUUGGGCGUAAAGCGUCCGCAGGUGGCGAUUCAAGUCUGCUGUCAAAGCACGGGGCUUAACUCCGUAAAGGCAGUGGAAACUGAAUAGCUAGAGUGCCGUAGGGGUAGAGGGAAUUCCCGGUGUAGCGGUGAAAUGCGUAGAGAUCGGGAAGAACAUCGGUGGCGAAAGCGCUCUACUGGACGGCAACUGACACUCAGGGACGAAAGCUAGGGGAGCGAAUGGGAUUAGAUACCCC